ACUCUGUGGUCACCCGGAGCUGGACGAGCUCGGGCCUGGCCGCAAGUGGCCCUCGCUCGGAUGUCCCCUCUCCAGACCUAAGGGAUAACGGUGACCACCCACGACGCCGUCGUCUGCAGGACCUCAGGGGUGCGGGGGAGGACCUUGGAGGCUCUCAGACUACCGGGCGUUGGGCGGAAGUGGCCAGUUGUGAUAGUGUUACCAGGAGAUUGGCAAAUAGGUCCUACUCCCACGAUUCUCUUUUUUCAACGGAAGACAAGAAAAGGUGUGAGCGACGGAUCUCUGCAAAUGCAGGGUGGAGUUAGCAUUGGUCUUUUCUGCGGCCGAUUUACCUACCAGGUAGAGACACGAAGGAAAUAGAGCGUCCUUUCCAGGAACACACAUAAAUAAAAUGAAACGAGUCACCACGCGAUCCAUAAAGUGGUGCAGUGGGAGCUGAGAGGACAAAGUGCUCCCAGGUGGAAAUCUAAGUUAGUUUCCAAGAGACGGCCUGUGAGCUGGGCUUCAAAGCCUGCCUGAUCCGGAUUUGCAGCGGUAAAAGCGUG
This 545-nucleotide long non-coding RNA is filed under the name Homo sapiens (human). RNAcentral describes it as "non-protein coding lnc-CPSF7-6:1". The record is from RNAcentral. Lineage: Eukaryota; Metazoa; Chordata; Mammalia; Primates; Hominidae.